UUGGUAUUUGAAGAUUUUUCUAAAUCACCAUAAAUGGGUAAGCCUAAAUGUGAGUAGUGGCUCUAAGCCUUAAAAUGGAAGAUUCAUCUAACCCAUACUAAGUAGCUCAAUUGGAUGGGUUGAGUUGUAAAUUUUGUUUGUGGCUUGCAUAACAUUAUAAAUUUGAAGAUGUAGACCAAUUGCACAAGUUGACUUUGGCCAUGGAGAUAAUUUCUUUAUAUUGAGUGGUGUCUGAGGUUGAUUUGUGAAAUUUAUUUUAUUGGUAAUGCAUAGGUUAGGUCAGUGUAGGUAUUGAUUGAGACAUAAUUAUAUUCAA
This 316-nucleotide unclassified non-coding RNA is filed under the name Hevea brasiliensis (rubber tree). Lineage: Eukaryota; Viridiplantae; Streptophyta; Magnoliopsida; Malpighiales; Euphorbiaceae. The record is from RNAcentral.